Molecule: long non-coding RNA, 314 nt
Filed under: Homo sapiens (human)
Lineage: Eukaryota; Metazoa; Chordata; Mammalia; Primates; Hominidae
Description: HSALNT0262606
Source: RNAcentral
AGCAGCCAAUGUGAAUGCGACAAGUUCCCGAUCCAGGCGUCCCGCUCUCCCCGGCCCCACUCGCCAGGUCCUACCACGAUGCCUGACUCGUUUGCGGCUUUGGGACCGGUUGUAGGUGGCUUGACCGUCACUAGUAGACGUUUCUGAGUGUGUCGCGGUCACCAUGGGGAGGUUCCCUGCUCAAGCUCUCUUCUCUUGUCUGCUGCCAUGUGAGACGUGCCUUUGACCUUCUGCCAUGAUUGUGAGGCCUCCCCAGCCACGUGAAACUUGGGAACCAUAAUCAACGCCGAUUACGUAAAAUGGACUCUAUGGCC